CUAGGUAAAAAAGAAGGCAUUGACAGAGUACAGAGGCCAAUGGUCACAGUUGAACACUGACUCCCGCCUCUUGGGCCUACGUUGGGUCGCCAGGUCAGAAACAGAUUCUCGUUCGUCCAGAACCUGAGUGUGAAGGACCUGUUCACCCCUGUGGAUGUGCUGAACUAUUUCUGCUCUCAGAGAAGGGCAAGGCAGAGGCUCCAGCCAUCAUCCUGUCCGCCUGUCCAAACAAAGACCAAACUUCUCUCACCCCCAAAUUACAGGUUGCAGCCAGUUUACCGCCCAGGGGAAAGACUUACCUCAGAACUGAAGCCUCACACUAAGGGUGUGAUCCUGCCCCCACUGCUCAGCCGCCACC
This is a long non-coding RNA of Brienomyrus brachyistius, 358 nucleotides long. RefSeq lists it as uncharacterized. The record is from RefSeq and is a predicted model, not a curated record. The transcript has 3 exons. NCBI's taxonomy places the organism in Eukaryota, Metazoa, Chordata, Actinopteri, Osteoglossiformes, Mormyridae.